This 278-nucleotide long non-coding RNA is filed under the name Mustela putorius furo (domestic ferret). RNAcentral's name for it is "lncRNA (ENSMPUG00000029681.1)". Lineage: Eukaryota; Metazoa; Chordata; Mammalia; Carnivora; Mustelidae. The record is from RNAcentral.
GCAAGCUACUCAGACCUGAGGCCUUUAAGGAACGUCAUCAGUCAGAGCUUCCAGGAAAAUGUUGGAUAAAGUGGUGAAAAGAGAGAGGGAGAGCGAGGAACAAGCAGACUCUUCACUGAGCAUGGAGCCCCACAUGGGGCUCAAUCCCAUGACCCUGAGAUCAUGACCUGAGCUGAAACCAAGAUGCAGCUGAACCAUGAUGUAGAGGCUCUGCCACUGAGCCACCCAGGCACCCCUACUGUUAAUAAUUUUUAAUUUUAUUCAGAUAAUGAAAUUCA